GAGGAAAGGGCCCGUUCCUCUGAAGACGAUGACUUGCCAAUCUCCACUUCAGACAAUGUGGAUGAACUUCCAAGACGUUCAACUAGGAACAGGAAACCACCAGAACGACUUCGCUACGCAAAACUUGGACAACCAGUAUUCGACACCUUCCAUACACUUGUUCAUGGGUUGGCUACGGCCUUCACAUAUGCCUUAACAGACACUGAGUUUCCCUUGCACACAUUGCAGCAACCAAUUAGCACACAACCAGGUCCAUGUCCGAGACGUACAUGAGAUCAGGGGGGGAAAGUGUAACCCAGGUUAAAAACCUUCAAUCCUAGCAGGCUCCCGUAGCUCAUUAUAAAUGGCAGCCAGAUCACUUCCGUUUCCUUUGCUGGUCGUUUGUGAUGCUGGUUGCUACGUUGAUGCUACAUGCUACACACAGGGAUUCCUCCACGAUUCCUAAACAGAUUAACGUUUGGUUAACAAUUGCUGCAAUCAGCGGUCAGGUUUUUUGUUUGGAUAUAUUUUUUUGCCAGGUGCUGAUGACCUGAUGACCUUUCAUUGACCUUGAUGGCGAGCUAAGAUUCUAAACCUAUCCUCCCUGCCAUAUGGUAAAGUAGGAUUAAACGGAAAUUAAUGAACUUUACCCUGGAAGCUUUUCUUUUGUUGUCUUUUGCCUUUACUGGGCAUCUGAAAAUAAUCGUGUGAAUUUGAAGGAACUUGUUGAUAUCUUGAAUACAACUAUUUUGUAACGCA
Molecule: long non-coding RNA, 738 nt
Organism: Gymnodraco acuticeps
Lineage: Eukaryota; Metazoa; Chordata; Actinopteri; Perciformes; Bathydraconidae
Exons: 2
Source: RefSeq, a predicted model, not a curated record